GAUAAACGCUGGCGGCGUGCAUGAGACAUGCAAGUCGAACGGACGAACAGGGCUUGCUCUGUUCGUUAGUGGCGGACGGCUGAGUAACGCGUAGGUGACCUGCCCCGAAGUGGGGAAUAACUGCCCGAAAGGGUGGCUAAUACCGCAUGUGGUGAUGCCUUCACGGGCAUCAGUAAAGCCGCAAGGCGCUUCGGGAGGGGCCUGCGUCCGAUUAGCUAGUUGGUGGGGUAACGGCUCACCAAGGCGACGAUCGGUAGGUGGUCUGAGAGGACGAUCACCCAGACUGGGACUGAGACACGGCCCAGACUCCUACGGGAGGCAGCAGUGGGGAAUUGUUCGCAAUGGGCACAAGCCUGACGACGCAACGCCGCGUGGAGGAUGAAGAUCUUCGGGUCGUAAACUCCUGUCGAAUGGGACGAACGGAUCGCGUGUGAACAACACGUGGUCGUGACGGUACCGUUAAAGGAAACCCCGGCUAACUCCGUGC
RNAcentral lists this ribosomal RNA (487 nucleotides) under uncultured bacterium. RNAcentral's name for it is "bacterial SSU rRNA". It matches the Rfam family "Bacterial small subunit ribosomal RNA", at positions 28 to 508 of the family's 1533-position model. The record is from RNAcentral.